This 772-nucleotide ribosomal RNA is filed under the name uncultured Neocallimastigales. Its description in RNAcentral is "partial large subunit ribosomal RNA". It matches the Rfam family "Eukaryotic large subunit ribosomal RNA", at positions 26 to 634 of the family's 3401-position model. Lineage: Eukaryota; Fungi; Neocallimastigomycota; Neocallimastigomycetes; Neocallimastigales. The record is from RNAcentral.
CGCAUCUGUGCAUGCAGCAUAUCAAUAAGCGGAGGAAAAGAAACUAACAAGGAUUCCCUCAGUAACGGCGAGUGAAGCGGGAAGAGCUCAAAUUUGAAAUCUUGAAAGGUCACCUUUCACGAAUUGUAGUUUAAAGAAGUGUUUUCUGUUACGAUCGUAAUAUAAGUUCUUUGGAAUAGGACAUCACAGAGGGUGAGAAUCCCGUCUAUGAUUGCGAUUUGUAGCUUUGUGAUACACUUUCAAAGAGUCGGGUUGUUUGGGAAUGCAGCCCAAAACGGGAGGUAAAUUUCUUCUAAGGCUAAAUAUUGGCGAGAGACCGAUAGCGAACAAGUACCGUGAGGGAAAGAUGAAAAGAACUUUGAAAAGAGAGUUAAAUAGUACGUGAAAUUGUCAAAAGGGAAGCGUUUAACACCAGUGUUGUUUUCUGAAAAUCAACCUCUGUUAGCUUUAUGCAUGUUUGUUUAGACCUAAUCAGCUAUCUUGCAUGUUCUAUUGUUUGCAGUGGUGCACUUUUCAGUUUACAGGUCAACAUCAGUUUUUUUCUACCGUAAAAAAGUUAAAGAAAGGUAGCUCAUGGCUCCGGUCGUGAGUGUUAUAGUCUUUUUCCUAUGCGGUAGGAGAGACUGAGGUCUGCAGUGUAGGCUAUUUGGCUAGAUACUCAGGUGCUAUGUGAUACCAUUUCAUAAACAACUUGUUGAUUAUGUUUUGUCUAUUGCAUACUCGCUUGUACUAUCAUACCUACGCUUAGGAUGUUGACGAUCAGCUGAGCGCG